RNAcentral lists this ribosomal RNA (450 nucleotides) under uncultured Glomeromycotina. RNAcentral's name for it is "SSU rRNA". It matches the Rfam family "Eukaryotic small subunit ribosomal RNA", at positions 569 to 1021 of the family's 1831-position model. Lineage: Eukaryota; Fungi; Glomeromycota. The record is from RNAcentral.
AGCAGCCGCGGUAAUUCCAGCUCCAAUAGCGUAUAUUAAAGUUGUUGCAGUUAAAAAGCUCGUAGUUGAAUUUCAGGGUCUGUCCAUUGGUCGGGCUUUACGGUCCGUACUGGUGUGAUGGGUUCCUACCUUCUGAAUAACCAGCAUGCCAUUUAGUUGGUGCGCCGGGGAAGCAGAGCUAUUACCUUGAAAAAAUUAGAGUGCUUAAAGCAGGCUAGUGCUUGAAUAGAUUAGCAUGGAAUAAUAAAAUAGGACGGCAUGGUUCUAUUUUGUUGGUUUCUAGGAUCACCGUAAUGAUUAAUAGGGAUAGUUGGGGGCAUUAGUAUUCAAUUGUCAGAGGUGAAAUUCUUGGAUUUAUUGAAGACUAACUUCUGCGAAAGCAUUUGCCAAGGAUGUUUUCAUUAAUCAAGAACGAAAGUUAGGGGAUCGAAGACGAUCAGAUACCGUCGU